UAUGAUAAAAGCUCUGAGUUAUGCAAACCCCAAGGACUUGCUCAGCUCCUUGCAGGCCAGCUCAGCUCCAUGCAAGAAGUCAGCCACCCAUGCCACCCCUCCUGAUGAAGCGGCAGAGAGUUCUACCUUCAGGAGAACCUUAAAAUACCAACUGGCAGAGCCAGCAGUGGCAUGGUAACUAAGGUGCUCGAUUACCACGUGACUGAUCAUGGUUCAAAUCUCAGACCUUGCGGCUUGCUUCAUCACUUCC
Molecule: long non-coding RNA, 250 nt
Organism: Tupaia belangeri chinensis (Chinese tree shrew)
Lineage: Eukaryota; Metazoa; Chordata; Mammalia; Scandentia; Tupaiidae
Exons: 3
Source: RefSeq, a predicted model, not a curated record